RNAcentral lists this ribosomal RNA (494 nucleotides) under uncultured bacterium. RNAcentral describes it as "partial 16S ribosomal RNA". It matches the Rfam family "Bacterial small subunit ribosomal RNA", at positions 28 to 507 of the family's 1533-position model. The record is from RNAcentral.
GACGAACGCUGGCGGCGUGCUUAACACAUGCAAGUCGAACGGAAAGGCCUGCUUUCCCUUGUGGAUUGCGGGUACUCGAGUGGCGAACGGGUGAGUAACACGUGAGUGAUCUGCCCCCAACUUGGGUAUAAGCCUGGGAAACUGGGUCUAAUUCCCGAUAGGACUGCAGGGUGGUGCCUGUGGUGGAAAACGAUUUUCUAGUGGUUGGGGAUGAGCUCGCGGCCUAUCAGCUUGUUGGUGGGGUAAUGGCCUACCAAGGCGGCGACGGGUAGCCGGCCUGAGAGGGUGGACGGCGACAUUGGGACUGAGUUGCGGCCCAGACUCCUACGGGAGGCAGCAGUGGGGAAUAUUGCACGAUGGGCGGAAGCCUGAUGCAGCGACGCCGCGUGGGGGAUGACGGCCUUCGGGUUGUAAACUCCUUUCGACCGCGAGGAAGCCACCUGGUUGGAAGGGUGGUGACGGUAGUGGUAGAAGAAGCACCGGCUAACUACGUG